This 233-nucleotide ribosomal RNA is filed under the name uncultured bacterium. RNAcentral's name for it is "partial 16S ribosomal RNA". It matches the Rfam family "Bacterial small subunit ribosomal RNA", at positions 118 to 351 of the family's 1533-position model. The record is from RNAcentral.
UGAGCAACCCGUCCCGAAGACCGGGAUAACACCGGGAAACCGGUGCUAAUACCGGAUGUCCCCACCAAGCCACAUGGCUCGGUGAGGAAAUGGAUUCCGCUUCGGGAGGGGCUCGCGGGCUAUCAGCUUGUUGGUGGGGUAACGGCCUACCAAGGCAACGAUGCGUAGCCGACCUGAGAGGGUGAUCGGCCACAUUGGAACUGAGACACGGUCCAGACUCCUACGGGAGGCAG